CUACAUAAGAUGUGCUAGCUACUCUCUGCCUUAGCAGUUAGCAGGAAGCACAAACUCCAUAUCGUUCAUUCACAUAUGAACACAUGGGAAUGGGUGGAGACGACGACCUAACAGAAUAUGAGGAUGGAAACAUAGAAAUGUGAGACGUCGGAAAAAGAGCACUUGCGCUGCCACUGCGUCCUGGACGAACCAACACCCCGCUGCCCAUCGUCGCCUCCAUCGAUGGGUGGGUGUUCGUCGCACUCCUCCACUGCCUCCCGGCUAAGGGACUUGUGGAGUGGGUGGCCCAUCACACUGAUCCACCGCCUCGAGGUUCAGGGCCUCAUGUGUCCUUGCUCGAUGGCGCAUGCCUACAAGUCCGAGCGGAGUUCCAGGGCAUGGCAACAUCCGUCAGGGAUCGGCACAGAGAUCAGC
RNAcentral lists this long non-coding RNA (414 nucleotides) under Brachypodium distachyon (stiff brome). RNAcentral's name for it is "long non-coding RNA (BDIS_LNC001007)". The record is from RNAcentral. Lineage: Eukaryota; Viridiplantae; Streptophyta; Magnoliopsida; Poales; Poaceae.